This 495-nucleotide ribosomal RNA is filed under the name uncultured bacterium. RNAcentral's name for it is "bacterial SSU rRNA". It matches the Rfam family "Bacterial small subunit ribosomal RNA", at positions 28 to 511 of the family's 1533-position model. The record is from RNAcentral.
GAUGAACGCUAGCUACAGGCUUAACACAUGCAAGUCGAGGGGCAGCAUGGUCUUAGCUUGCUAAGGCCGAUGGCGACCGGCGCACGGGUGAGUAACACGUAUCCAACCUGCCGUCUACUCUUGGACAGCCUUCUGAAAGGAAGAUUAAUACAAGAUGGCAUCAUGAGUCCGCAUGUUCACAUGAUUAAAGGUAUUCCGGUAGACGAUGGGGAUGCGUUCCAUUAGAUAGUAGGCGGGUAACGGCCCACCUAGUCUUCGAUGGAUAGGGGUUCUGAGAGGAAGGUCCCCCACAUUGGAACUGAGACACGGUCCAAACUCCUACGGGGAGGCAGCAGUGAGGAAUAUUGGUCAAUGGGCGAGAGCCUGAACCAGCCAAGUAGCGUGAAGGAUAGACUGCCCUAUGGGUUGUAAACUUCUUUUAUAAAGGAAUAAAGUCGGGUAUGGAUACCCGUUUGCAUGUACUUUAUGAAUAAGGAUCGGCUAACUCCGUGCCAG